CGGCUACCUCCGUGUCUUCGGAAUCUACCUUCAGCACGACCGGAAGGAUUUUAGAUGACUAUAGGAGUUCGUUAAAACCGGUUAUGGUGGAGGCAUUAGUUUGUGGUGCAAGUUAUAUCAAGGGUGCUCAUGUUGACUUGAAUCUGGUGCCGAGGGAUGAGAAUGAAGAGGAUGAUGUUGAGAACAUCAAGUUACCCACUGUGGUGGAGGAGAUCAACGAUUGGUAACUAUUCUUCCUACAUGUUUCACUUGUCAUACGAUACCAAAUAUUAUUUAUGUGAAUGUUGCUUAUCUUACUUGUAGACAUU
This is a long non-coding RNA of Triticum aestivum (bread wheat), 308 nucleotides long. RefSeq lists it as uncharacterized. Lineage: Eukaryota; Viridiplantae; Streptophyta; Magnoliopsida; Poales; Poaceae. The record is from RefSeq and is a predicted model, not a curated record. The transcript has 3 exons.